This 71-nucleotide transfer RNA is filed under the name Cavia porcellus (domestic guinea pig). It matches the Rfam family "tRNA". Rfam says of the family: Transfer RNA (tRNA) molecules are approximately 80 nucleotides in length. Their secondary structure includes four short double-helical elements and three loops (D, anti-codon, and T loops). Further hydrogen bonds mediate the characteristic L-shaped molecular structure. tRNAs have two regions of fundamental functional importance: the anti-codon, which is responsible for specific mRNA codon recognition, and the 3' end, to which the tRNAs corresponding amino acid is attached (by aminoacyl-tRNA synthetases). tRNAs cope with the degeneracy of the genetic code in two manners: having more than one tRNA (with a specific anti-codon) for a particular amino acid; and 'wobble' base-pairing, i.e. permitting non-standard base-pairing at the 3rd anti-codon position. Lineage: Eukaryota; Metazoa; Chordata; Mammalia; Rodentia; Caviidae. The record is from Rfam by way of RNAcentral.
GGGGUUGUAGCUUAGUGGUAGAACACUUGUCUAGCACACAGAGGUCCAGGGUUCAAUCCCCAGCAUCUCAA